RNAcentral lists this ribosomal RNA (253 nucleotides) under uncultured bacterium. Its description in RNAcentral is "partial 16S ribosomal RNA". It matches the Rfam family "Bacterial small subunit ribosomal RNA", at positions 524 to 776 of the family's 1533-position model. The record is from RNAcentral.
UACGGAGGGUGCAAGCGUUAUCCGGAUUCACUGGGUUUAAAGGGUGCGUAGGUGGGCAGGUAAGUCAGUGGUGAAAUCCCCGAGCUUAACUUGGGAACUGCCGUUGAUACUAUCUGUCUUGAAUAUCGUGGAGGUUAGCGGAAUAUGUCAUGUAGCGGUGAAAUGCAUAGAGAUGACAUAGAACACCAAUUGCGAAGGCAGCUGACUACACGGUAAUUGACACUGAGGCACGAAAGCCAGGGGAGCAAACGGG